This is a long non-coding RNA of Pan troglodytes (chimpanzee), 2585 nucleotides long. RefSeq lists it as uncharacterized. The transcript is spliced from 4 exons. The record is from RefSeq and is a predicted model, not a curated record. NCBI's taxonomy places the organism in Eukaryota, Metazoa, Chordata, Mammalia, Primates, Hominidae.
UAUUACCAUUCUCAUAUUGCAAACUCAAGUAGGCAGUUAUGUAGCCCCCGCCCAAAUUCGUGAACCCAAAACAAAACCCACAAGAUCUCAUCAACAGUUUUUACCUCACAGCUGACACUUAUAAAUGAGUUCCAAGUGCUUCCGCCAACUCCUCCUACCAGCAACUGUGAAAACAACGGCCACAAGGAGUAAUGCUGCUUUUCACACAGAAAGGGCUUCUACUGUGCCUGACCUUAAGACAGGAAAAGUAGGGGAGCUAAGGAAGCUACCUACACCGCCCUCACCCCCAGUAGCCAGGCUCAGGAAGGAAGAGGCACAGCGGUGUGAAUGGAUGGAGAAGAGGAGGCCGGUAGGCUGAGCCCCUGGCUCCUGGAACGAACACACAGCCAUGGCAGAGGAGAAUGUGGCUUGAAUAGGUUCCAUGACUUGUACAAGACCACAGCUGGUACAUGAUGAAGCAAGGACAAGACACGGGCAUCUGACCUCAAGAGUUUCUCCAAUCAUGAAAUACCUAAACUCUGCAAGUCAGAAGAGAGUGGGGGCCAAUAUUCAACAUUCUUAAAGAAAGGAAUUUUCAACCCAGAAUUUCAUAUCCAGCCAAACUAAGCUUCAAAAAUGAAGGAGAAAUAAAAUCCUUUACAGACAAGCAAAUGCUGAGAGAUUUUGUCGCCACCAGGCCCACCCUACAAGAGUUCCUGAAGGAAGCACUAAACAUGGAGAGGAAUAACUGGUACCAGCCACUGCAAAAACAUGCCAAUUGUAAAGAGCAUUGAGGCUAGGAAGAAACUGCAUCAACUAAUGAGCAAAAUAACCAGCUAACAUCAUAAUGACAUGAUCAAAUUCACACAUAACAAUAUUAACCUUAAGUGUAAAAGGGCUAAAUUCUCCAAUUAAAAGAUGCAGACUGGCAAAUUGGAUAAAGAGUCAAGACCGAUCAGUGUGCUGUAUUCAGGAAACCCAUCUCAUGUGCAGAGACACACAUAGGCUCAAAAUAAAGGGAUGGAGGAAGACCUACCAAGCAAAUGGAAAACAAAAAAAGGCAGGGGUUGCAAUCCUAGUCUCUGAUAAAACAGACUUUAAACCAACAAAGAUCAAGAGAGACAAAGAAGGCCAUUACAUAAUGGUAAAGGGAUCAAUUCAACAAGAAGAGCUAACUAUCCUAAAUAUAUAUGCACCCAAUACAGGAGCACCCAGAUUCAUAAAGCAAGUCCUUAGAUACUUACAAAGAGACUUAGACUCCCACACAAUAAUAAUGGAAGACUUUAACACCCCACUGUCAACAUUAGACAGAUCAAUGAGACAGAAAGUUAAAAAGUAUAUCCAGGAAAAUCCCUUGAUCUUAUGUGCAACAUCCACAAGCAUGUAGCUAACACCAGAUAGGACAGGACAGGAAUCCAAAGACAGAACCAAGAUAAGACAAAAAAGUGGAAGAGCCAGUGUUUGGGGAGAGGGUCAAGUUUAUUUUUACCUUUUUUUUUUUUUUUUUUAAUUAACUGAGAAUCAACAAAAUCAGUGAGUGUUCACACAGCAUAAUUCUGUCCGGGAAAGAGGAGUUGACACAGCAUUCCUCUGUAAACUGGAGAAUUUCUCCAUGACUCCUAUCUGCUCCCCAGUUUCUCUUCUCCAUGAGGAAUAAACACCAUGUACAAUCUGAAACCUGGUAAGGGACUGAUCCUUGAAGUGUCAUCCUGAAUUUGAAUUAAACCUAAGUCUAGUUUCCUUUUGAGAUCUCCUGAUGAGUUAAACCUUUACACAAGAGCUACCUAGUCGGAUGAUUUUUUUCUCACCUGAGCUAUUGUGGAUAAUUGCUCUGCUUCCUUGUUCAACAAAAUAUAAGGUAAAUCAUUACCACUCACAACCCGAAGAGAUUUAUGCCAUCGUCUAACAGAAGAGCACAGUGUGCACGUUUCUUUUCUAAGAAAAUAAAGUUGACCUCAAUGCAACGAAGUGGAGUUUGAUUUUCAUAAUUAUAAGUCAUAACUCAAAAUUCAAAUUUUUUUGAAUCAGCAUUUUUGCCCUAGGAGAAAUUUUGGAUUCAGGUAUAUAGUAUACGUUACCUUUUUAAUUAAAGAAAGAAGGAAAUAUGUAUAUGUGUUGGAAUAUAUAUAUAUAGCAACAUAUAUGUUACUUUUUUAAUUAAAGAAAGAAGGAAAUAUAUAUAUAUACACACAUACAUAUACAAUAUAUAUGUAAUUGUAAUUCUUCUUUUUUCAUAGCUUUAAAUGCAUUAAUUGCAAAAUUCUAUCCUGGAUUAUCAACUGGAUCUGCAGCAAACACAUGGUGGUGUGUAGAGAUGUUCUUUGAAGAUUUAAUUCAUCACUAUUAAUAAAAAUGUUUAACCUUUACAGAGUGCUUACUAUGAGCCAGGCACCAUGCUAAACACUCUACAUAGAUUAUCCCAUGUAAUUCCCCCCACUAUUCUUCCCAUCAACUAUUAUCCCCACUUUGCAGAAGAAGAGAUUGAGGCAUACAGCAGUUCCCAAAUUUGGUCAAAGGUGGAGCAGGCAUUUGGAAUCAGGACUGUCUUAUUCCAGUGUUUACUCUGAAUCAUCAUGCACUUAUCAUUAAACUUGAGACUUUAAAAA